This 253-nucleotide ribosomal RNA is filed under the name uncultured bacterium. RNAcentral describes it as "partial 16S ribosomal RNA". It matches the Rfam family "Bacterial small subunit ribosomal RNA", at positions 524 to 776 of the family's 1533-position model. The record is from RNAcentral.
UACGUAGGGUGCAAGCGUUAUCCGGAAUUAUUGGGCGUAAAGAGCUCGUAGGCGGUUUGUCGCGUCUGCUGUGAAAACCCGAGGCUCAACCUCGGGCCUGCAGUGGGUACGGGCAGACUAGAGUGCGGUAGGGGAGAUUGGAAUUCCUGGUGUAGCGGUGGAAUGCGCAGAUAUCAGGAGGAACACCGAUGGCGAAGGCAGAUCUCUGGGCCGUAACUGACGCUGAGGAGCGAAAGCGUGGGGAGCGAGCAGG